UGAAAUUGCUUAAGGUAGCUAAUGGAGCCCGAGUCUAGUGUGAUUGGUGAUUUACUGUUAUUUGGCAUGUUUACAGCUUUAAAUGCAAAAUGAGGUUUGAUGUGUUCAUUUUACAGAUUUGUGUGCAUAUACUACGUUUUUAUUAAUCAUGGGUUGAAUGACUGAAAAACUGAUACUGUAUGUUGUCUGUUUGGCAUGAAUUACUGUUUUGCUUGUUUGUAUGUGAAUUGAUGAUGCUGACUGAGGAAAAGGAAAAUGAAAGAUUGUGUAGACUGAUAAUUGUAUUAUGGGGGUCAGCCUGACUAGAUAUCCUGGGAGAUGG
Molecule: long non-coding RNA, 322 nt
Filed under: Carica papaya (papaya)
Lineage: Eukaryota; Viridiplantae; Streptophyta; Magnoliopsida; Brassicales; Caricaceae
Description: long non-coding RNA (CPAP_LNC011230)
Source: RNAcentral